GACGAACGCUGGCGGCGUGCUUAACACAUGCAAGUCGUACGGUAAGGCCCUUUCGGGGGUACACGAGUGGCGAACGGGUGAGUAACACGUGAGUAACCUGCCCACAACUUUGGGAUAACGCUAGGAAACUGGUGCUAAUACUGGAUAUGUGCCCCUGCUGCAUGGUGGGGGUUGGAAAGCUCCGGCGGUUGUGGAUGGACUCGCGGCCUAUCAGCUUGUUGGUGGGGUAGUGGCCUACCAAGGCGGCGACGGGUAGCCGGCCUGAGAGGGUGACCGGCCACAUUGGGACUGAGAUACGGCCCAGACGCCUACGGGAGGCAGCAGUGGGGAAUAUUGCACAAUGGGCGCAAGCCUGAUGCAGCAACGCCGCGUGCGGGAUGACGGCCUUCGGGUUGUAAACCGCUUUCAGCAGGGACGAAGCUUUUUGUGACGGUACCUGCAGAAGAAGCACCGGCUAACUACGUG
Molecule: ribosomal RNA, 465 nt
Filed under: uncultured bacterium
Lineage: Bacteria
Description: partial 16S ribosomal RNA
Rfam family: Bacterial small subunit ribosomal RNA
Source: RNAcentral